CUGUCCAUUUUGGAUGUGUGAAAACCUUGCCACUUCUCUUUCUUGAUUUCUGCAAGAGCAGGAAAACCUUAAACACCAUUUCCUAUAGCAACCGAUGCAACUCUGCUGCUAGUGUUUUUCUACUUUACUGUUUUAACAACUUUCUUCAAAUAACAAUCUAACUGAUCUCGAAUACGUAAUAAAAGCAAUAGAAUCUUACAGGUUUUCAACGUGUUCUUGCUGACUCAUGUUCCCUACUGUUUACUUUCCAUGACUGGUCUACUGAAUUUGUGUCUAUUUAUGUGAAUCCCUUGGCAUUAUCAGGGGUGGAGUUAAGAUGGGGUUCAGUGGGGGCUAAAGACUUGACAACAUAUAAAUUUUGGAAAUAAGCCAAUAACAAAAUAAUAUUAAACAUAUCACAACAAUUUACCAUUGUUCCCAGCAGGUUUUCACACUUCGGAAACCAAGCAUAAUGACAUCAUCGUCUAUUUUUUGGAAUACAUCGUUUUCAAUAUAUACAACUAAGUUGUCAUUCAUCCACUGAUCUCCAAUUUUAUUGCGCAAUCGAGCCUUCACAAUGUUAGUUGCAGUCAAGACUCUUUCAACUGUAGGAGUAGCAAUGGGAAGAAUUAAUGCCAAAUUCACAAGCUUGUAAACUAAUGGAUACACUUCAUUUUUCUUAGUUGCAUUCAACUUCUUUGAAAGAUUACUUAGGCCCCGUAAUUCUUUGAACUCUUUGCUAGAGCGCAUAUCAGUGAUAUAACUUUCAAGUUGAUCAUCAAGUUUCAUGCACCCUGUUGGUGAAAAAUCCUUUGGAUAAUACUGAGCAAGGCGAACUAACUUUUCCUUAUCAAAAGUCGAGAAUGAAUCAUUGGGGUAUAAGCAUGCUACACAAAGUAGCAGCUCAUUAUUUACCUCAGUGAAUCGAUCAUUCAACUCUUGAAGUUGCAUAUCAAUGACAUCAUAGAAUAAACCCUCGCGGAAGUAAUGCAAAUUUGUCAUUUCUUUAGUAUUCCGCCCUGAGCGACCUUGAUGUAUAAAGGUACCAUCCAUGUUCGGAACAUCAAUAUCGUGCUUUUGACAGAAAGAACAUACUUGUUCCAAAAGAGAAUCCCACCCAUUCUCCCUCAUCACUUGGAGUUGUUGUUUACAUACUUUCACUAAACUUAUGGCAUUGACAAUAUCUUCAUCUUUCCUUUGUAAUGCCUUCGACAAUUCAUUGGAAAUUCCUAAAAUAGUUCUCAUGAGAUGCAGACUAAAGGCAAAGUCAAAUGAUGGCAUCCCAUCUAAUAAAUAUUUUGCCCAAAAUCUUUGAUCACGACAUGAUUCAACAUCAAUAAUCAUUUCAAGGACAUCAAGUAUAGGUGAGAACAUGGUAAUUAAAGUGGUCAAAGUACCAUAAUGUGAUCCCCAAUGUGCAUCAUGAGGAGAAUUAACAAUACUAUGCUGAUUGAGACUUUGUCCACUUGAAAUCUCACUGUUCUGGAGUGCAUUUGAAAUUAUGGCUGCUUGUUUCUCUCUAAGAAGAUCACAACGAUUAGACAAUACUCCGACAAUAUUCACCAUCCUAGAAGCCAAACUGAAUAGUGAUCCAGUCUCCAUAUGAUUCUUUGCAACAUCUACAAGAGCUCCUUCAAGUCGAUAAGCAAAGCAAUGAAUGUAAAAAGCACGCGGAUUCUCUUUCAAAAUAAGUUCUUUGAGACCAUUAAACUCACCUUGAAUAUCACUGGUCACAUCAUAAACUUGUCCUCUCAAUCUAGAAAUACUCAACCCGUAUCUAGAGAAUAAUUUAUCUACAGAAGCCUUAAGUGAGAGAGAUGUGGCACUAGAAACGUGUUCAAUACCCAUAAAACGUUCAACUACAUCUCCAGUGUUGUUCAUAUAACGCAACACAAUAGACAUUUGCUCCUCUUGUGAGACAUCUGGAGAUUUAUCAAGUAGAAUCGAGAAUAAGGCAUCACCAAUAUCUUCAAUAAUAAAACUCAACGUUUCAACAGCAGCAACACUUGCAAUAUCAUUUUGAAUAUCACGUGAUAUUAAAACGAGAUUCUCAGGAGCAUUUUCCAUAAUAGCCUUAAUCUCAGCAUUUUGGUCGGCUAGACACCGCAAAAGUUGAAUAAAGUCUCGUUGAUCUUCUGAAGCUGCAAAUUCAUCAUCAUCGAAUACAAGCCCUUGUCGUGUGAGAAACCGAACACAAUCAAUUGAUACACUCAAAAGCGUCCGAGAACCUCCUUUAAAUAUAUCUUUCCUUGAUUUCUCUACAUCAUCAUUUUCUUCAAUAGAGAACGGAGAUUUUCGUUUAAAAUAUCUCUCCAUAACUUCCUAC
Molecule: long non-coding RNA, 2305 nt
Filed under: Olea europaea subsp. europaea
Lineage: Eukaryota; Viridiplantae; Streptophyta; Magnoliopsida; Lamiales; Oleaceae
Source: RNAcentral